AGUGAACGCUGGCGGUAGGCCUAACACAUGCAAGUCGAACGGCAGCACAGUAAGAGCUUGCUCUUACGGGUGGCGAGUGGCGGACGGGUGAGGAAUACAUCGGAAUCUACUUUUUCGUGGGGGAUAACGUAGGGAAACUUACGCUAAUACCGCAUACGACCUACGGGUGAAAGCAGGGGAUCUUCGGACCUUGCGCGAUUGAAUGAGCCGAUGUCGGAUUAGCUAGUUGGCGGGGUAAAGGCCCACCAAGGCGACGAUCCGUAGCUGGUCUGAGAGGAUGAACCCCCACAGUGGAACAGAGACGGGGCCCAGACUCCUAGGGGGGGCAGCGGGGGGAAAUUGGGGACAGGGGGCGAGACCCUGAUCGCGCCACACCGCGGGGGUAAAAAGGCCCUUCGGUUUGUAAAGCCUUUUUGGGGGAAAAAAAAAACCGCGGGUAAACCCCCCGGUUUUCUGGCGGCCCAAAAAAAAAAAACCCCGGAACUUUUC
RNAcentral lists this ribosomal RNA (489 nucleotides) under uncultured bacterium. RNAcentral's name for it is "partial 16S ribosomal RNA". It matches the Rfam family "Bacterial small subunit ribosomal RNA", at positions 29 to 504 of the family's 1533-position model. The record is from RNAcentral.